This is a non-coding RNA of Triticum urartu, 377 nucleotides long. NCBI's taxonomy places the organism in Eukaryota, Viridiplantae, Streptophyta, Magnoliopsida, Poales, Poaceae. The record is from RefSeq and is a predicted model, not a curated record.
GAUUCUCCAUGGUCAUGCUUCUCCUGUUCACCUGGAAGUUUAUUGAUGGGAGGGAAGCCACUUCUGCUUUGAUGAUUUCUUGGAAGUUCAGCUAGGUGAAUUUACAAUACAAGUCAGAUUAUUUGCGAGAGAAUUUCAUUCCCUAGAAUCAUUGUCAUUCUUGUUGCCUACAAGGUACUUGAAGAAAAUGCCCGAGACAUAUUUUAAGGAGUAUAAUUCAGCACUAAGGCUAUUAUUACAACGAUGGAAUCUUUGUUGUGGUAGUUAUGUCUCCAAAUGCGUCGAUCCCUAUCGGCUACUGAAGUAAACUUAUUUAUUUUUUCUGUGUCGAUUUCUAUUGGCUUACUGAUAGGUUAUUUAUUCUUUUCGAAUUUUAA